Molecule: long non-coding RNA, 797 nt
Filed under: Ananas comosus (pineapple)
Lineage: Eukaryota; Viridiplantae; Streptophyta; Magnoliopsida; Poales; Bromeliaceae
Description: long non-coding RNA (ACOM_LNC015613)
Source: RNAcentral
GAAUCCAUCCGGACAUUUCGAAAAAUCAUCCUAUUUUUGACCUUCCAAAUGAUUUAUCAGCAGGCUACUAGAGUUGAUAGCUUUCUAACAUUGACACAGGAAAAAAAAAAAAGCUACGAAUUGUGGUGGAGCUGAUUUAUUGGGAGAAGAUGUUCCCAAAACUUCGUCGGUGACUUCAACUUGUAGGCAACUAGUAGGAAAUCCGUUCAGACAUUUCGAAAGAUCAUUCAAUUUCUAACCUCUCAAAUAAUUUACCAGCAGGUUACUAAAGCUGAUAGCUUGCUAGCCAUCGAUUGAGGUCCUUUCUUGCUCGUCCACCUGAAAUUAUUAAUUGCUUAUACUGUAGCCCCACAAAAACCAAUAGGAGCACAGUGAGAUCCGGUGUCAAUUCAAAAAGGAAAAACUUCAAAAACCCCCCUGUGGUUUCGUAGUUUUUCACCUUACCCCCCUGUGUUUUAAAAUGUAUCAAGUUGCCCCUCUGUGGUUUUGUUUUAUCUUUUGGGUAGCUUUUUCGUUAAUAUUUUAUUAAAUUAUAUACAAAAAACUUCAGAUACCCAUCUAGAUUUAUCAAAUAUUUACUUUAGUACCCUUUAAUUUUAACUUUAUCACUGAUUUAAGAAAAAAAAUAAUAAAAUUGAUAAGAAAAAUAGAAAAACAAAACCACAGAGGGGUAAAUUGAUACAUUUUAAACCAUAGGGGGGCAAAGUGAGAAACUAUAAAAUCACAGGGCGGGUUUUUGAAGUUUUCCCAUUCGAAAAGGACAAAGUGAAAUGCUUUGGGUAAUGCAAUUAUUGAUG